CCUACGUGAGGCAGCAGUGAGGAAUAUUGGUCAAUGGACGCAAGUCUGAACCAGCCAUGCAGCGUGAAGGAUGACGGCUCUAUGGGUUGUAAACUUCUUUUGUACGGGGGUAAACGCAGAUACGCGUAUCUUUCUGUAAGUAUCAUACGAAUAAGGAUCGGCUAAAUCCGUGCCAGCAGCCGCGGUAAUACGGAGGAUUCGAGCGUUAUCCGGAUUUAUUGGGUUUAAAGGGUGCGUAGGUGGUCGGAUAAGUCAGUUGUGAAAUCCCGAGGCUCAACUUUGGAAUUGCAGGUGAAACUGUCAGGCUAGAGUGUAGUUGCGGUAGGCGGAAUGUAUGGUGUAGCGGUGAAAUGCUUAGAGAUCAUAAAGAACACCGAUUGCGAAGGCAGCUUACUAAACUACAACUGACGUUGAGGCACGAAAGCGUGGGGAGCAAACAGGAUUAGAUACCCUUGUAGUC
This 460-nucleotide ribosomal RNA is filed under the name uncultured bacterium. RNAcentral's name for it is "partial 16S ribosomal RNA". It matches the Rfam family "Bacterial small subunit ribosomal RNA", at positions 338 to 795 of the family's 1533-position model. The record is from RNAcentral.